CUGCAACUCGACUACAUGAAGCUGGAAUCGCUAGUAAUCGCAGAUCAGAAUGCUGCGGUGAAUACGUUCCCGGGUCUUGUACACACCGCCCGUCACACCAUGGGAGUCGGAAAUGCCGAAGCCGGUGACCCAACCAAAGGAGGGAGCCGUCGAAGGCAGGUCUGAUAACUGGGGUGAAGUCGUAACAAGGUACC
RNAcentral lists this ribosomal RNA (194 nucleotides) under uncultured bacterium. RNAcentral describes it as "partial 16S ribosomal RNA". It matches the Rfam family "Bacterial small subunit ribosomal RNA", at positions 1305 to 1500 of the family's 1533-position model. The record is from RNAcentral.